This 725-nucleotide long non-coding RNA is filed under the name Solanum tuberosum (potato). RNAcentral describes it as "long non-coding RNA (STUB_LNC000832)". Lineage: Eukaryota; Viridiplantae; Streptophyta; Magnoliopsida; Solanales; Solanaceae. The record is from RNAcentral.
UCAUUCUUUACAGGACAUUGUUAUGUUUGGGAGAUAGAACAUACAUGUCUUUUGUUGUGACUUUUGAACCUAACAGCAUAUUUACAGCUCUAAGCAAGUCUGGUCCCCCAGAGUAAAUGAAACAUUCCAAAGGCUUGUUCUCAGCCAAUCUAGCUACAAGUAGUUAACUCCUCCUGACACAAGUUCGUAGCCAUGGAAGAAAAUUUGGGGCAGCAGGCUCCAUCCAAGGUGAAUUACUUUAUUUGGUGGUAGCCAAUGAUGCUUAGAGCCUCAGCCACCCAAACUCCAGAGGGAGGGUUCCAUUUAUGCAGUAAAUGUUCGUAAUGAGAGGAGCAAUCAGAGGAUUUGAAUCAUCUAUUUUUACACUGUACAGUUACCUCUCAAAUCUGGAGUCCUUUUCUAAACAUCCUGAGAAUUAGCCUGUCAAUGCAUAACUCGACGGUAGAGUUUCAAAAAAUUUGGGAGUAAAAGAGAUCUCAAUAAAAAUGCAAGUUACAGUUGGAACACUAUUCCUCAGGCUGUAUCGUGGACAGACUGGAUAGAGAGAAACUUUUAUGGCAAAAAAAGGAGGCAUACAUAGCCUUGCAAGAGAAUGUAAAUGGCAUUAUUGAUACAGUAACUACUUAACAUGAACUGCAACUAUGUUUUGAUGCAUUAACUUAGUGCUUCUUUGAUAUCAACAAAGAUUGACCCUUGUUCAUAAAAAAUUCUGACUAAAAAAUGAC